RNAcentral lists this long non-coding RNA (1519 nucleotides) under Homo sapiens (human). RNAcentral describes it as "PREDICTED lncRNA (TCONS_00007246)". The record is from RNAcentral. Lineage: Eukaryota; Metazoa; Chordata; Mammalia; Primates; Hominidae.
CACACGGAUGCGGAAACCGAGACGGGCUGGAUGGAAAACUCUUUCCAGACAGACUCCGGGGCCCUCAACUGGUCUCCGACCUUCCCCUGCAACCUGCGACACCUGCCAUUUUCCCAUCUUAGGCUCCAGAAGCAGAAUCAAGUGGGAUGUCUUGGAAGAAAAACAAACAAAAGGCCCACUAGGUGGAGUGAAAUGGAUCAGGAGCAAUUAUGUUCAAUUUCACCUUUAAGUUUUCUCAAAAGGAGGAGCAUUAAGAAUCAGCCACCUUAGUACAUACUUAAAGAAUUAUCCUCAGACUUUCCAGUUUUAAUCUUCUAGAUUUACUGAAACCUGAUCCUGUCCCCGCUGAUGAAACAUCAGAGGAAUGGGAUCCUGUAGGUGAAGAUCAUCAGCUUAUAAAAUCCUGUUGCCAUCAAUGGGGGUAGCAGGAAAAUGAUGAAGAUUGGUUAAGGGGCCAGUGGACUCAGCAUUGAAAUGAAUCAUGGACUUGAAGCCAAAAGACUCAGUUUGUGUCCCAGCUCUCUCAAGCAAAGCCCCCAAGUCCCAGUUUCCUCAUCUAUAAAAAAUAAUAAAAAUACUUAAUGGACAAAGUUGUGUGGGAAUCAAAUGAGAUAAAGUAUGCGCUGCAUAUGCCCUAAAGUCUUAUUUAAAUAAAGGCAUUCUUUUCAUCUGAGAAAUUGAAGAAAAAGAUGCCCUGAACAAGAAAGACAGGAGAAAAGAUUUUUUUUUUUUUUAAUGAAGGAUAAAAUGAUGAAAUCCCCCCAGGAGAAGAUAGUCAUUGGACAAAAGGUGGGUCAUUCUCACGUUGACCAAGUUUCUGUUCCAGUAUCACCCUCCCAGUCCACAGGUCGAGAGGAACCAUACUUGAAGAAACAUACCUGAAGGGUUUCAUCCAUAUGUGGGCCUGAUUUGGAUGAUAAAAUCCUGCAUCUUGAGCCUGAUCUUGAUGCUGCCUGUGUUCUGAUGCCAUCAGGAGUUGAGAGUCUAGGGGUUUUAGAAAGGGUGAAUGUAUUUUCCCAUAGGCAAGGAACAUAAUCAAUGGCCAAAAUGUGCACUGUGACAGAUUAAAGGUUGCUACAAAUUCUCUGAUACCCUUCCAUUAAGAGGUAGGGCAGAUAUUCCCUCCCCUCAAAUCUGGGUGGGCUCCAUGACUUGCUUUGAUCAACAGAAAACGGCAGCAGUGAUGCUGGGCCAGUUGUUGGAUCCAGGCCUUAAGAACCAACAACUUCCACUUAAGUUCUCUUGGAACACUGAGUCCCUGACUACCCUAAUAUCAUGUUGGAAAGGCUACAUGUAGGCACUCUAGUUGCCAGUCCCAGCCAAGACCAGCUUUUCAGCCAUCCCCAUCACUAAAUUUGUAAAUGAAGCCAUCUGGAAUCUCCAGACCAGCUCAUUUGGCAGCUGGGUAUCAUCAAGUUAUCUCUGCUGACUCCACAUGGAACAAAGGAAUCACCCAGCUGAGCCCUAUUCAAACUAUUGACCAAAAAAAUAGUGAGACAUAAUAAAAUGAUGUUUUAAG